GAUGAACGCUGGCGGCGUGCCUAAUACAUGCAAGUCGAACGGGAGACCUCAUUUCGAUGGGGUUGAGAGUGGCGCACGGGUGAGGAACACAUGGCUGACCUGCCCUUCAGAGGGGGAUAACGGCUGGAAACGGCUGCUAAUACCCCAUACGCUCCUUGGGAUUAGAGGCCUGAGGAGGAAAGCCUUCGGGUGCUGAAGGAGGGGGCUGUGGCCCAUCAGCUUGUUGGUAGGGUAACGGCCUACCAAGGCGACGACGGGUAGGGGGCCUGAGAGGGUGACCCCCCACACUGGGACUGAGACACGGCCCAGACUCCUACGGGAGGCAGCAGUGGGGAAUAUUGCACAAUGGGCGAAAGCCUGAUGCAGCGACGCCGCGUGAAGGAUGAAGGUCUUCGGGUCGUAAAGCUCUGUCCUAAGGGAAGAAACGGACGGUACCUUAGGAGGAAGCCCCGGCUAACUACGUG
This 464-nucleotide ribosomal RNA is filed under the name uncultured bacterium. RNAcentral's name for it is "bacterial SSU rRNA". It matches the Rfam family "Bacterial small subunit ribosomal RNA", at positions 28 to 507 of the family's 1533-position model. The record is from RNAcentral.